RNAcentral lists this non-coding RNA (23 nucleotides) under Arabidopsis thaliana (thale cress). Lineage: Eukaryota; Viridiplantae; Streptophyta; Magnoliopsida; Brassicales; Brassicaceae. The record is from RNAcentral.
CAAUUUCUCUAUACAGCGGUCUA